RNAcentral lists this ribosomal RNA (1119 nucleotides) under Spirochona gemmipara. Its description in RNAcentral is "SSU rRNA". It matches the Rfam family "Eukaryotic small subunit ribosomal RNA", at positions 93 to 1273 of the family's 1831-position model. Lineage: Eukaryota; Ciliophora; Phyllopharyngea; Exogemmida; Spirochonidae. The record is from RNAcentral.
AUGGCUCAUUAAAACAGUUAUAGUAUAUUUGAUAAUGUUUUUAUAUGGAUAACCGUUGGGAAACCAGAGCUAAUACAUGCUAAAAAACCUUUGGGUUGUAUUUAUUAGCUAUAAACCAUUACCUUCGGGUUUUGUGAGGAGUCAUAAUAACUGAUCGAAGCAUACUUGUGUAUGCUAAAUCUUUCUAGUUUCUGCUCUAUCAGUUUUGAUGGUAGUGUAUUGGACUACCAUGACUAUCACGGGUAACGGAGAAUUAGGGUUCGAUUCCGGAGAGGGAGCCUGAGAAACGGCUACCACAUCCAAGGUAGGCAGCAGGCGCGUAAAUUACCCAAUCCUGAUUCAGGGAGGUAGUUACGAGAAAUAUGGGAUCUGCUUUAUUGCAGAGGUUCAACUGGACUGAAUUUAAACCAUUCUAUGAAUACGAUUGGAGGGCAAGUCUGGUGCCAGCAGCCGCGGUAACUCCAGCUCCAAUAGUGUAUCUUAACGUUGUUGCAGUUAAAAAGCUCGUAGUUGAAUUUCUGGCUGGUUGUCUCAACCCUUGUGGUAGAGACUGAUUAGUCAUCCGCGUUAGAAACUAGCCCGGUGUUUAUUCACCAGUUAGUGAAAGACGCAUUUUACUUUGAAGAAAUUAGAGUGUUCCAAGCAAGCAUUGCAUGAAUAUUACAGCAUGGAAUAAUGGAAUAGGACAGAGUCAUUUUAUUGGUUAUCGACUUUGUAAUGAUUAACAGGGACAGUUGGGGGCAUUCGUAUUCAGUUGUCAGAGGUGAAAUUCGUAGAUUAACUGAAGACGAACUAAUGCGAAAGCAUUUGCCAAGGAUGUUUUCAUUAAUCAAGAACGAAAGUUAGGGGAUCGAAGACGAUUAGAUACCGUCGUAGUCCUAACUAUAAACUAUACCGACUAGGGAUUGGCAUAGGAUGUCCUAUGUCAGCACCUAAUGAGAAAUCAAAGUCUUUAGGUUCUGGGGGGAGUAUGUUCGCAAGAAUGAAACUUAAAGGAAUUGACGGAAGGGCACCACCAGGAGUGGAGCCUGCGGCUCAAUUUGACUCAACGCGGGGAAACUUACCAGGGCAAGACCUGAGAAUGAUUGACAAUUUGAGAGCUUUUUCUUGAUUACAGGG